UAUCCGGAAUUAUUGGGCGUAAAGGGCUCGUAGGCGGUUCGUCGCGUCCGGUGUGAAAGUCCAUCGCUUAACGGUGGAUCCGCGCCGGGUACGGGCGGGCUUGAGUGCGGUAGGGGAGACUGGAAUUCCCGGUGUAACGGUGGAAUGUGUAGAUAUCGGGAAGAACACCAAUGGCGAAGGCAGGUCUCUGGGCCGUUACUGACGCUGAGGAGCGAAAGCGUGGGGAGCGAACAGGAUUAGAUACCCUGGUAGUCCACGCCGUAAACGGUGGAUGCUGGAUGUGGGGCCCGUUCCACGGGUUCCGUGUCGGAGCUAACGCGUUAAGCAUCCCGCCUGGGGAGUACGGCCGCAAGGCUAAAACUCAAAGAAAUUGACGGGGGCCCGCACAAGCGGCGGAGCAUGCGGAUUAAUUCGAUGCAACGCGAAGAACCUUACCUGGGCUUGACAUGUUCCCGACGGUCGUAAAGAUACGGCUUCCCUUCGGGGCGGGUUCACAGGUGGUGCAUGGUCGUCGUCAGCUCGUGUCGUGAAAUGUUGGGUUAAGUCCCGCAACGAGCCCAACCCUCGCCCCGUGUUGCCAGCGGAUUAUGCCGGGAACUCACGGGGGACCGCCGGGGUUAACUCGGAAGAAGGUGGGGAUUACGUCGAUCUUCUUCCCCCUUACGUCCAGGGCUUCCCCCCUGCUACAAUGGCCGGUACACGG
This 703-nucleotide ribosomal RNA is filed under the name uncultured bacterium. RNAcentral describes it as "bacterial SSU rRNA". It matches the Rfam family "Bacterial small subunit ribosomal RNA", at positions 542 to 1244 of the family's 1533-position model. The record is from RNAcentral.